UACAGAGGGUGCGAGCGUUGUUCGGAAUUAUUGGGCGUAAAGGGCGCGUAGGCGGUGCGGUAAGUCACCUGUGAAAUCUCCUGGCUCAACUGGGAGCUUGCAGGCGAAACUGCCGUGCUGGAGUGUGGGAGAGGUGCGUGGAAUUCCUGGUGUAGCGGUGAAAUGCGCAGAUAUCAGGAGGAACACCGGUGGCGAAGGCGGGUCUCUGGGCCGUAACUGACGCUGAGGAGCGAAAGCGUGGGGAGCGAACAGG
RNAcentral lists this ribosomal RNA (253 nucleotides) under uncultured bacterium. Its description in RNAcentral is "partial 16S ribosomal RNA". It matches the Rfam family "Bacterial small subunit ribosomal RNA", at positions 524 to 776 of the family's 1533-position model. The record is from RNAcentral.